Molecule: long non-coding RNA, 912 nt
Organism: Sebastes umbrosus (honeycomb rockfish)
Lineage: Eukaryota; Metazoa; Chordata; Actinopteri; Perciformes; Sebastidae
Exons: 2
Source: RefSeq, a predicted model, not a curated record
ACAUGAUCUAGUGUUUCAGUGUGUCUCACUCAUGGGCAGGAAUCAGUAUUUUACAAACCAGGUUUUCCUAAUUUCACCGUAAGAGUGUUUAAGUAUUACAAUGUACAAAUAAUAAUGUGUUUAAAUUCUGAAGUUGAAAUAUACAAAUUUGGAUUUUGUAAUUUAAGGGAUAAAAGGGAUAAAAAAUAUUUCUUUAUGCUGUUAUUUUUUUUAAUUUUAUUUUACAAUAUUCUAUUUUGUGAUAAUGAACGGUUUGUAUAUAGAGGGAUUGAAAUAGUGAUGCUGAAGUCAGUUUUGCUGAGCAGCAGUGCUACGUCCUUUCAUUUUCUAUUGAAAUUUAUACAAAGCAUGACAGGAUUGCUCACAGUACGGUUGAGCGCAGUGGAAAAAGUUGUAAUUAGUGAAUUUCAUUCAUUCAUUCAUAAACCAAUUUGUACAUGACAAAAUCAUUGAUAUAGAAUCUUAAAUCAAUAGAAAAUCAUAUUAAAUAGUCUGGUAAGAAUAUUGUUACAAAAUCCCUUGUAGCAACCUGUUCCUAAAGGAAGAAAUUUAAAUUAAUGCUGAAAUAAGCAGCAAUACGUAAAGCAGCACCAAUUAGUCUUUCGGCUCAUUGUUUUUUCUUUCAGUCCUGAAACUUUUACUUUUUUGGUUUACACUUAUUGCAGAGUAAAUAUUGGACUUCUAUUCAUCAGGUUUACAGAAACUCCAAAUGAACGAUAAUGUUGCUCUUUGUGUCUACUAGAUGUGUUAAUAGGCAACUGUUUGCCCACACAUUCACUGCACAUGCUUUAUUACAGGUGUGACCUUUAGAAGUAAAUUAUGUUUCAUACCAGGUAUUUUAUUUCCACACUGUCACAGUGAUAGAUAAUUAUCAGUGGGAAAUAAAAACAUUUUUUACAAUGAAUUUGUUGU